UACGGAGGAUGCAAGCGUUAUCCGGAUUUAUUGGAUUUAAAGGGUGCGCAGGUUGUUUGAUAAGUCAGUGGUGAAAGUCUGUCACUUAACGGUAGGAUUGCCAUUGAUACUGUUAGACUUGAAUAUGGAUGAGGUAGGCGGAAUGUGUAGUGUAGCGGUGAAAUGCAUAGAUAUUACACAGAACACCGAUUGCGAAGGCAGCUUACUAAUCCAUCAUUGACGCUGAGGCACGAAAGCGUGGGGAUCAAACA
RNAcentral lists this ribosomal RNA (251 nucleotides) under uncultured prokaryote. RNAcentral's name for it is "partial 16S ribosomal RNA". It matches the Rfam family "Bacterial small subunit ribosomal RNA", at positions 524 to 774 of the family's 1533-position model. The record is from RNAcentral.